This is an RNA transcript of Amborella trichopoda, 2556 nucleotides long. It is a transcript of the gene named alpha carbonic anhydrase 4, with no coding region annotated. NCBI's taxonomy places the organism in Eukaryota, Viridiplantae, Streptophyta, Magnoliopsida, Amborellales, Amborellaceae. The record is from RefSeq and is a predicted model, not a curated record.
UUGUUUUGGCACUUCUACUUUUUUUGUAAUCCUCCCUUUGGCUAUUUCUUAUUUUUUUGUCAUUAUAAAUGGUUUUUUUUGUAGCUCACAAAGGAAAAAAUCAGUAGUUGCAUGAUUAGGCCUAGGCUUCAUUGGUUAAAGUGUGACCUUGCACAAUUACAUCAUCAUCACCAUCAUCAUUAUCAUUACCAUCAAAGUCUUAUCUCAAUUAUUUGGGAUCUGCUACACAGAUAUUUGUAAAAAGUUACGGCUAAAAUGGGAAAUACCCCUCCCAUCAAUUUACAUUGACAUGGCUGGUGAAGUGCUAAAAUUAUCACUCACAACAAUUGAAUUUGGAAUUUAUCAGACUAUUGCAUUUAUUUUUUCAGUAUCUUCAUUCACUUUUCAUAAUCACACUUGUAAACGGUAGGAUUGGCAAUUGGUCGGGCCUAUUAGCCUAAAUAAGCCCCAGGCCCGGCUCUGGCGACACACAAUAUAGAAAAGCCUGGGGGCUAUAGCAAACUUACAAAUGGGUCAGGGCAGGCCAAACCAGGAUCUUUGCAAUUCAUAAAUGGGAAGCCAUUUUUGGAAACUAUAUCAUCAUUUUGUCCAUCUCUAUUCACAUAAACUGCAUUGUGCUCUAACAAUAUCUCAAAUUCAUCGUGGUUUCAUGGUUUGCUGUUAUAUUUUAGUGGAUGUCUUCACAAAUAAAAACCAAACAACUCCAAAUUACAAAGUCGAUUUCGAUUACACUAAAGGGAGCGGGAGAGGUCCAGAAGAUUGGGGUAAGCUUCAUCUUGAGUGGGCUGCAUGUGGUCAGGGUCGAAUACAAUCCCCCAUAGACUUGGGUGCUCAAAGCCCAUUCAUACCAGAAAGAUCAGUGCCUCUUAAUUCAGACUACAUACAAGCCCAGGCUUUUUUAGCCAACAGAGGUUUCCAAAUCUCGCUGAGAUGGGAGGGUCUGGCAGCAUCGAGUGCGGGAGGGAUUACGAUUGACAACGUAGCGUAUGCACUUAAAGGGUGUCAUUGGCACUCACCUUCGGAGCAUACCUUCCACGGCUACAGAUACCCACUAGAGCUCCACAUGGUUCACCAAAGUUCCAAUGGGAAAUUUGCAGUGGUUUCAGUAACAUAUAAGAUGGGAAGGCCAGAUGCUUUACUUCAUAAGUUAAUGGAGGAUAUGAGGUCCUUGGGCUCUGAAGACAAGAGAUUAGGGUUCAUAAAUCCAAGAGAUGUCAUGCAUAACUAUCAUAAUGUAGCAUAUUACAGGUAUGAGGGCUCUCUAACAACUCCCCCUUGCACUGAGGGUGUCAUCUGGACUAUAAUAAAAAAGGUGAAGACUGUGUCAUGGCAGCAAUUGAUAACAUUGAGAGGAGCGGUUGACUGUGGCUACCAAUCAAAUGCCAGACCCACACAACCCACAAAUGGAAGACCGGUGUGGUUUUUUACCUGAGGUUUGCUUAAUAAGGUCUCUAUAUCAGCCUCCAGCUGCCAAGCAAUCUCCAAUAUAACGCAUCCAAGAGAUGACUUUCAUGACAAAUAAGAAGAGGAACAUCCAGUCCCGGUGGCAUCCAAAGAGCUGACAGAUGGCUGAACGAAGAAGUUAUUAGAGUCAUUAUCACUUUCAUCACUCAUAACGUAAAACUUACAUUUGCCUUCAUUGCAUGUUCUUCUUGGACCCACCCUGGCAACUGCCCUUGCAGACAAUCGAAUGGGAUUCAGUCCCCUUUUGUUUGCCUUUGCUAGCACGAGCUUCUUCCCCUUUUCCUUUGACCACCAGCAACAGCACUUCUCUCUAACUACUCGGUUUUUUUUGCUUUUUUUUUUCUUUUUUUAUUUGAUUCUUUCCUUUAUUGCUUCAAAAAUUACGACUAAAGGAACCUCAAAAUUCCGCCUCCAUAUCAUCGUGCAUCUCUUCAUUUCUUCCUGAAACGCUUCCCCCCCUUGAUCCUCAGCAACUUCAUUAGGAAUAGCGACUGCAUAAGCUUCUACGCACCCAUCAUCAAGAGGUAGAUCAUCGCCUACCACCUCCUAUUGCUCAAUCAAAGGUGGUUGUGCUUCAUCAUUCAAAGGGGGAAGAACAUUAAUUGAUGGAACAACCAAAGCAUCCUCCAAGGAGCCCUCUGAGAAGUUGAGGUCAUGCUCUUGCUCCCCGCUACCAAUGUCUUCGAUUUUUUCCAAAUCUAUUUGUUCCUCCUGGUCUAGAUCAAUCAACAAACCCAUUACAAUGUUCACAUUUUCACCACGGAGAAUCCUCGAUUUGUUCUUCUUUUAGCAACUGACUUUAACAACAACAACCUUGGUGGAAACAUCUUCAUAAUAGUAGCAAGAAGAUCAAAUCUCCUUCAAGAAAGGAAGUUGCAAGGUCUUUGAAGAAACGGUUUGUAUCAUAUUUCCUACUCUUUAGGUUUCUAUAAAGAGAAGGACUUUCCUUUACGGGCUUUUCCAUUCUAGAAGUCGGCAAUACAAUAAUGGUUGUACUUUCCCCAUACCCCUGUUUUUUCUCAGGCACCACAAUGAGAUAAUUGCAAAUCUCUACUUGUCCCUAACAAAGGAUCAAAAUCCAAGGUUGUCCUA